Molecule: long non-coding RNA, 3796 nt
Organism: Silurus meridionalis
Lineage: Eukaryota; Metazoa; Chordata; Actinopteri; Siluriformes; Siluridae
Exons: 4
Source: RefSeq, a predicted model, not a curated record
UAUCCCCCUCUUCUCUGCCCGUAUUCGCAUCUGCGAUACUCACGGAUGCUGAAUACGUGCGUGCGCGCAGGAGACGUGAUGGCUAUAGAAAAGGAAGAUAAAACUAGUUACACAUCAUCUCUGUAUGGCAGCUCUGGAUGCACAGUGAGGUGUCGGAUGGUCUUGAAGAGAAGAUAAAGAAGCAAAGCCUUAUGACAUCCCCAUGAGUUCUAGAGGAGACGUGUAUCGGUACCUGUUCCCUUCUGUCAUCGUUCAUCGUGGUCCAGUGACAGCUCCUCAGACCCUUCUGUGCUGACACUUCGGGCAUCCUCACAACUACAGGACGUGUCAAGGGAAGCUGCGAGGAACGGAACAGCAACCUCUUAUUAAUCAAGGAAGUAACACAACCAGUGACCGAUAUGGUUGUCCUUCUUCUCCUAAUCACCUGGGAUACCUGCCCAUGCUCACCCACACAACACCACCUUCUGGCAAUACGCCAACUGGACGGCCCGUCAACACACAGCAGGUCCAUGCUAUGUCUGUCAGCGCCGUACAUUUCUAUGAUAAUCCCGACUGUCAUUGCUUUCCUGUUACUAUGCCUAUUUGGACCAUGUAUUUUUCAAUGUAUCCAGCAAUACAGGUAGUUGUGGAUUUACGACCACAAUUGGGACCGACAGACCGGUCGUAACACGAUUUGGUUGUAAGUAGAGUAGGCUAUAUGUACAGUACUGUGAAAUUAUGCCGGAAGCUGGUACGCACUGUCGUAUGCUGCGGCUCGCGAUUGUGGUCGUAAUGUCGAGCGGUCGUUAUUUGCAUAGGUUGUAAGUCGACGACUACCUGUAAUUCACCAGUAUGCUUUCUGGUUAUUAAUUUGUCCGUGUUUCUGAAUAUUAUCCUAAUCCUAUGUGUCAUGUCUGAUUAAUUGUUUAAUAUGUGAUUUAUUCCUACAAUCCUUACAACUAGCUACCGCCCUCCCAAGAGCAAUAAUGCCUUUUUAACUGAACUAUCUGAACUCUUGACUCAUCUAUGUUCCAUAUCGCCAAAUGUUAUCCUUCUGGGUGAUUUUAACAUUCAUAUAGAUAAUACCAGUAAUGCAUUUACAAGUGAAUUUUUAUCAUGUUUGGAUUGCUUUGGUAUACAACAAUUUAACACACUGUCCUACUCUUGAUCUCGUUUGUUGCUCUGGUAUAAUACCGUUUAAUUGUACUGUUUCUGAUUUUUCUAUAUCAGAUCACUUUUUGGUUUGUUUUUGUGCCAAGUUGGCCAUCUUUAAGGCAAACCUGUGCUGUCCGAUUUCAUUCCGGAAUAUUAAGAACAUUGAUUUGCCUACUCUUGCUGAUGAACUUGCCAUCUUCUCCAGUGAAUCUGAUUUCUCUACUGCUGAUGAACUAGUAAAAUAUUACAAUGACGGACUGAACAUGAUCUAGGAUGAAUUCGCACCUGUGAAAACUCGAACUGUUUCAUUUGCACAUUCAGCUCCCUGCUUCACACCUGAACUGCGUGAACUUAAAACUAAAGGCCGUAGAUUAGAGCGGCUGUGCGCCAGGACUGGCCUUACUGUUCAUAAGGAAAUGUCUGUUGAACAUAUUAAAAAUUAUAAAACUGCACGGACUGAAGUUAAAAUCUGAUUACUACUCCAAUGGGAACUCUAGGUCUCUCUUUUUGGUAGUAAACAAUAUUCUGAAACCACCUGAUUAUUUGCUGUCUGAUAUGUAUUCCACUGAUCUAUGUGAUCGUUUUUGGACUUUCUUUGCAUCUAAGGUUGAAAAUGUACAUCAGCAAAUACUUAUUGGUACUUUUCACAAUGACUCCUCUCAGUUUAUAAUGCACACACCUCCCCAUUAUGUUUUCUCUAAAUUUGCAUUACCUACUGCUUCAGAGAUAAUGAGUCUGAUAGGUAAAUCUAAAUCUUCAACUUGUCAAUUAGACCCUCUACCAACUACCUUAGUGAAAGCUUGUUUACCAGCUCUUUUGCUGUUGAUUACAAAAAUUGUUCAUGCUUCACUUAGUUCUGGUCUUGUAUCUCCAUCUCUUAAAUCUGCUAUUAUUACACCCAUACUUAAGAAACCAGGAGGUGACCCAUCAAAUUUUGAAAAUGUUCGUCCAAUUUCAAAUUUACCAUUCAUCUCCAAGGUAGUGGAAAAGUGUAUUGCAAUUUAAAUUCAUGAACAUCUCUCCAAUAAUCAUUUGUUUGAACAAUUCCAAUCUGGUUUUCGUCCCCACCACAGCACUGAGACUGCUCUUGUCAGAAUAACCAAUGAUUAACUGUUGGCAGCCGACUCUGGGCUUUUAACUAUACUUGUCCUCCUUGACUUGAGCACUGCCUUUGAUACUGUCUCACAUAAGAUACUUCUUGACAGGUUAGCUUCCAUUGGUAUUACUGGCACUGCUCUGUCUUGGUUUAUGUCAUAUUUAUCUGAAAUUAAAGAUUGGUUUUCUUGAAGGUAAAUGGCAACAAAACUGAGGCUUUGCUGGUUGGCACUAAAUCUGUUAUGUCUAAACCUAACUGCUUCUCUCUCACUAUUGAUAAUACCACAGUCUGUCCUUCCUCUCAGGUAAAAAGCUUGGGUGUCAUCAUGGAUAGUACACUAUCUUUUGAAGCACAAAUUAAUAAUAUGAUGAGAUACUUCUAUCUGCGUAAUAUUAACCGUCUUCGUCACUUUCUUUCAAAAAAUAAUACUGCAGUUCUUAUUCACGCACUAGUCACCUCACGUAUAGACUACUGCAAUGCACUUCUCACAGGUAUUCCUUCCAAAUUGCUGAAUAAACUUCAGAUUGUUCAGAAUUCCGCAGCCCGUGUUCUCUCUAGAACACCUUAUACGGCUCACAUCUCUCCGGUUCUUCAGCAAUUACACUGGCUUCCAGUAAAGUAUAGAGUAGAAUUUAAAAUCUUGCUACUCACUUAUAAGGCACUUCAUAAUCUUGCACCACAAUAUCUUACUCAACUUCUUCAUGUUUACACUUCUUCACAUGCACUUAGAUCUUCAUCUUCAAUUUCUCUUGUGGCACCUUGGAUUCGACUGACUACCAUGGGUGCCAGAUCUUUUAGUUAUGCUGCCCCCCGCCUAUGGAACUCUCUUCCCCUUGAUGUUCGCAAUAGCGAGUGUUCGUUGACUUUUAAAAAGCGUCUUAAGACAAAUCUUUUUAUACAGGCCUUUUUAUGAAAUGUUUUAUUGAGAUUUAAAUGAAUUUUACAUGCAAAUGCUGUUUCUCUGUUGUGUGUUCUGUUUUAUGCAAUGACCUGUAUAUUGUCUGUAAGGUGACCUUGGGUGUUUUGAAAGGCGCCAUGAAAUAAAAUGCAUUAUUAUUAUUAUUAUUAUUAUUAUUAUUAUUAUUAUUAUUCAUUCUUAUUUAUCAUGGAUAAAAUGGAGGAAUUGUAAGAUAUCCUUGAUCACUAGUCCCAGAUUAGGUUGACCCAGAACACUCAGUUUUUGUCUUUAUCCUCUCUUCAUACGCUGAGAAAACCCAAACUGUCACCUUUUGGUAUGGCUAACCUGCGUUUUGUUGCGACUGCUAAACUAAUAACAUGACCAGAUGUGAAGUUAUCAUCAUCAACCGUUUUUUAUGUUCUCACAAUAUGUUAAUAUGUAUCUUGUUGCCAUUAGUAGUUAUAGUAAUUUUGUUGUAUGCUUCUAGAAUAACUUUUUUGUAAGCUUCUGUUCACCAUACCCUGAACUAUCUUUUGGUGGCAUGUGUUACUUUGCUCGUACACACACAGUGGUUCCUGUAUUUCUGUUUUAGGCUUAUCUUUUGCAGGCUCAGCAUAACCUUGUGGAGUUGUCUCUCCUAACUUUCUCUUCUGUUCUUACACACACAC